This is a long non-coding RNA of Eucalyptus grandis, 3807 nucleotides long. RefSeq lists it as uncharacterized. The transcript is spliced from 6 exons. NCBI's taxonomy places the organism in Eukaryota, Viridiplantae, Streptophyta, Magnoliopsida, Myrtales, Myrtaceae. The record is from RefSeq and is a predicted model, not a curated record.
UAGAUAUCGUGUUUGGGACAAACGCCUUUCGAUUCUCCAUAAUGCUUGAAACCCCUGUCAAGUUUCUUAUUGUUCCCUUGAUGUCCCUCAUUAACCUUCUAAGAAGAGCAUCACUUCUUAGAAUAUGAUGAACUGAGCUAAAAUAAAAUUCAAGGUUCAAGUGUUUCUAUUUGGUUACAAAAAAAAUGUUAAAGUAGUUUUGGCUAGUCUGUCAUAUAUGAAUGUAGACCACCUUAACAUUAUUAGUAGUCAAACUGUUGUUUUUAAAGAUUAUCAAGCAAGGUAAACUGGUGCCGCUUCUAUGACAGGUUUGGUUGGUCUAUGUAACGAUCUAGGCUUACUUUGGGACUUCAAUUCAAUUAAUUGUAUCGAUGACCUUUUGCAUUAUUGGACAAUUUUUUGCCCGUCUGUGAAACAAGCUGGGAUGAGGAGCUCAAGAAUUUGCUAAUUAGUUUGCAUCCCGUUUGAUCCUAUUGUUGUCAUGGAAUUGCUUUAUGGCAUGACUGAUUUGGGCAUGGCUAACUGUGCUGAGGAACUUCAAAUUCCAUACUUGAGGCUGAUCAAAAUAAAGAAAAGGGAUUUUGCAAAGGAAGCUACCGCAACAACUGAGGACCAUCUUGCGUGCCAACCUUGAAGAUGCUCUGGGGCUGAGUGGAGUGUUCCAAGGAAGUUUUGAUGCUUCUGAAUAUUCAAACACUUGAUCGAUCUGACAUCACAUCCCUGAAUGAUUGUAAAUAGUUGUCCGAUGCGGUUACAUUCUAAUGGUAUCACUCCCGAAUUGAUAAGGCUUUGUAGAGGGAGACUAAAGCUGCAUUUGAUGAAACUUGGAGAAAGUCCCCAGACACCAUGGGUUGGAGAUAUGAGCAAGAAUGAGCUAUGUCAGUAUAGAAAGGCAUUCUGGAGUUUUUUGCUAUUGGCGUUUGUCAUUGGCUCUGUGUUGUUAUUACUCUUCAAAGGAUUCUUCAUAUAAGUCGACCUCUUCUCAUGUGGUGUAUUAGUCCUUUGCAAGCUUUGAAAUUGUGCUACUCUUUAGCAAAGGCUGCAUCACAAAUCGCUUGGAGGUAGCAACGGCUGCAUCACAAAUCACUUGGAGGAAGACCGCAUGUGUAGAUGGUUCUAUAUGUGGAGUCAAGCUUAAAAUGAGAGUUGCUGACAAGAUUACCAUUUAGAUGUCCACUUUAAGCUACAAUUUUGUGACUGGGAGAGACUUUUUUCGUGGAAAAAGCAAAUGCCAAGAGAUCAGCAAAUAAUCAGUAAAUUGCAGCCAAGAGUUUCAAUGAACAGCUGUCCAAGAAGACAGGAGUUUCCCAUUUGGAAGAAUUUUGAACACAAAAGAAUGGCAUUCAUUAGUGUAAAAUCAUCUCUCUGGUCUAGUUAUGUCAGAAUAUUCAUAUGUAGGCAUUUUGCAAUCACUUUGGUGGUAUAAUCUCAAACUUGAUUUGUUUAAGCAUGAAUCUAAAAGCAGAAGAGACACAGCCAUGUACAUUUUCAUACCUAAAAUCAAGUAGAGAGACUAGUUCGUUCUUGAAGAGCAGCAUUACUUUCUCCUUCGAGAUUCUCUUAGGUGGACGCAUGGAGCUCAUGUCGCUCGGAGUCGCACCUCCACGGUUGUUUUUAGCGUUUCCACCUCUAAAACCAGAGGAGGAGGGGAAAGCGAAGAAGAUAAGAUCAAAACGGGAUGGGAGAAUGUGUCUCAGUGUUUGGUUGGUUCACCAAGUUGAAAUUGGGGAGAGCAUGGCAAUCUUAGUAGCCACAAGAGAAUUUGGGAUCUUGGAUGAAGAAUGUGGCAACGGACUGGACCAAGAGCGGAUUGUUACAUGAGUUAGAACUGAAAAGAGGUGAAUCUGUCAAAUUAGAAGAACUUAUGUUAGAUUUUGCUGAUAUUACUGAGAUUCCUAUGUCUAUCGGUUCUCUGAUGAAGCUGGAGAAAUUGAGCGCCUGCUGUUGUGAGUCACUCAGAGAAAUCCCUAGCUUAAUUUGAGAUUUGCUGAAUAUGCAACAUUUGGACAUUAGUGAUCCUAGGAUUGAAAAGCUUCCUAGUGCUAUUGGAAGGUGUUGAAAAAUCUGCGCACUAUAAGUCUCCUAUUGUGCCUUGUCUGAAAAAGCAAUUCCAAGUGAAAUCGGUGACUUGUCUUCACUUGAGAUUCUCUAUAUCACUUGUGCGCCGCUAUCUACCCUACCAGAAAGCAUUCGGAAUGUUUCUUCUCUCCAAUGCCUUAGCCUAAUGGGCUAUGACAAGCUCCGGUUGCUACCAAAGCUUCCUUCAAGCUUGACAUAUCUGUUGAUCUCUUGUCAGAGUCCUAGGUUGCCACAGCUUUCUAGCCUAAUCCACCCAGAAAAACUCAAUUUUAAGGCAUGCCAUCUAGUUGAAGACAUCCAUGAGAUUUCCUCAAGACCCUUGAAAUUUUGUAUUGAGGAGUGUGAUAAGCUGAUAUUGCUUAAGCUCAACAGAUUCAAGUACUUGGAAGAGUUUUGAUAAAAAAAAAAGUGCAGUUUGAUUGAAAGAUUGGCCCUUUCACAAUUAAUCCAUCUGAAAUGAUUAUGCGCCAAGCAUUGCGAUAACCUAGUUGAAAUUCAGACCCAUGAUGAUUUGGAGUUCUUGGAGGGCAUAUUUAUACAUGACUGCAAUUCCAUUAAAAGGCUUCUCUGUCCAAAAUCAUGGUGUUUGGAGGAAUUACAGGCCAUCAGGAGCAACAAUCUAGUCGAAAAUUAAGGUUUUGACGGUGUGUAGUUCUUAGAAAAAUUGGAUAUUACAAGAUGCAUGACAAUGGAGACUUUGCCAAGUUUGACGGGAUGUGAGAAGUUACAAUCUCUAGUAAUUAAAGACUGAGAGAAACUUACUCAGCUUCAGGGACUUGAAAAGAUGGAUUUAGAUCUUUUGGAUGUUCAAGGUUGCAACUCAUUGGAAAUGCUGCUGAAAUUAUCUAGAACAUGCGUCACUGGAAAUUAUGAAGAGAUCUAUCUCGAUCUCUUUGUUGAAAUAUUAUACUACAGUGAUAAUGAUGUGAUGAAUCUUAUACCUGUAUUACAACAGUGAGACGAGUCAUGUUUCCUUGACAAAGGGUUCUGACUUCCCUAAAUUGCCAGUAUUACCUAAUUGAAGGAGCAAGGGUAGUUGGUCAUAGAAGCUGACAUGAUGCUUCAGCCAAGAUCAAAAUAUAGACCCUAAUGUCAAUAGAAGGCACUGGUUAUCUAGUAAGAUUCUCCAUCCUUGAAUGGCCAGCGUGAGAGAAUGGAGUAACACUUUUCUUGAAGCUAUAUUUUUUAAGAAUGAUUUGCUCUGCACCGGGUCUGGUUGGUCUAUAGGAUGAUCAAGGCUUACUUUGGGACUUAAAUUUGAUGAGCUUUAUCGAUGAUCUUUUGCAUAAUCGGGACAAAUUUUUUGCCCUUUCUGUGAAACAAGUGGGGGCAAGGAGCUCAAGAACUUGCUAAUGAGUCUGCAUCCCAUCUGAUCCUAUUGUUGUCAUGGAAUCGUUUUAUCACAUGAUUAAUCUGAGUCUGGCUAACUUGGCUGAGGAACUUCAAAUUCCAUGCCAGAGACUGAUCAAAAUGAAGAAGAUAUAUUUUGCAAAGGAAGCACCAGCAACAGCUGAGGACCAUCUUUUGUGCCAAUGUUGAAGAGGCUCAUGGACCAACUGGAGUGUGUUUAGGAAGUUUUGAUGAUUGUGAGGAUCCAAAACACUUCAUCUGAUCUCAACAGCACAUGUUUGAAUGAUUUAAAUGUUGUAUUUCCAGUUGAGUCUGCUUUUUGUAUGCACUCGAGGUUCAACCUCUCUGUCAAUCAAAUGUAGCUGGCUGAUUCUUUUG